RNAcentral lists this long non-coding RNA (624 nucleotides) under Sus scrofa (pig). RNAcentral's name for it is "lncRNA (ENSSSCG00030073419.1)". The record is from RNAcentral. Lineage: Eukaryota; Metazoa; Chordata; Mammalia; Artiodactyla; Suidae.
GGCACAGAGGCCAAAGGAAGCUGGAAACAGCCAGGAAUAGACACCCAGAAGAAACGCCUGAAGAUUAAAACGCCCCAAGAACCAGCUAUCAGGCUGGGCCUCUGACUCCCGCGCAAGGUCACCUCCUUGCUGAGGCAGAAAGGCGCCCCCACGGCGGCGGCGGCCUCCGCGUGGAGUCGCGGCUGCCCGAAGCCCUUCAACAGGACACGAAGCGACGUCCUGAAUGUUGGAAGGCGAUGCAUCGGAGGCUGCGCACCAAGGGUCAGUGCCGGGUGGAAAUGAUCAAACGAGGAGAAGGAAGGAAAACUUGGCACCUGCCAAAGACGGCAACUCAAGCUCCCGUUCCCUUGUGAGUGAUUUGGUAGCUUGCAUAACGAAGCCACCACCAGGCAGAACCAUCCAGCUCAAGGCUCCACGUUUGACCUUGGAUCUGCUCCAUGGUCCUGGAUUACAGGCUCUACAUGAGAAGGCACUUUGUAAUACUUCUGGAAUUGGCUUCAAGGUCGGGGUGCCCCAUGUUCAUUGUCAUUCUUUCGUUCGUAUGUUUUUUUGAGCGCCUAGGAUAGGCUAUGCACUUGGCUGCGGCUAAAUUUUGGGUGAAGAUUUAGAAGUUAGCUCUUUGGG